ACUUAAAAGCUAGCCCACUCACGCAACUCCAACAACCAAUAUUACUACCCCCUAAUACCCUAUAAGCAAACAAAACAAAACAUUUUUCCUUCCUAGUAUAGGUGAUAGAAAAGAAUCCAGGAGCAAUAGAUAAAGUACCGCAAGGGAAGGCUGAAAGAGAAAUGAAAUAACCCAGUUAAGAAAAGAAAAGCAGAGAUGUACCU
RNAcentral lists this ribosomal RNA (203 nucleotides) under Epibulus insidiator (slingjaw wrasse). RNAcentral's name for it is "partial 16S ribosomal RNA". Lineage: Eukaryota; Metazoa; Chordata; Actinopteri; Labriformes; Labridae. The record is from RNAcentral.